Molecule: ribosomal RNA, 475 nt
Filed under: uncultured bacterium
Lineage: Bacteria
Description: bacterial SSU rRNA
Rfam family: Bacterial small subunit ribosomal RNA
Source: RNAcentral
AGGACGAACGCUGGCGGCACGCUUAACACAUGCAAGUCGAACGAACAGAGGAAGCUUGCUUCCGAAGUUAGUGGCGGACGGGUGAGUAACACGUGAGCAAUCUGCCUUUAAGUGGGGAAUAACGUUUGGAAACGGACGGUAAUACCGCAUAAUAUACACGAACCGCAUGAUUUGUGUAUCAAAGAUUUAUCGCUUAAAGAUGAGCUCGCGUCUGAUUAGAUAGUUGGUGAGGUAACGGCCCACCAAGUCGACGAUCAGUAGCCGGACUGAGAGGUUGAACGGCCACAUUGGGACUGAGACACGGCCCAGACUCCUACGGGAGGCAGCAGUGGGGGAUAUUGCACAAUGGGGGAAACCCUGAUGCAGCGACGCCGCGUGGGUGAAGAAGUUAUUCGUAAUGUAAAGCCCUAUCAGCAGGGAAGAUAAUGACGGUACCUGACUAAGAAGCCCCGGCUAACUACGUGCCAGCCGCUGC